This 1479-nucleotide long non-coding RNA is filed under the name Cucumis sativus (cucumber). RNAcentral's name for it is "long non-coding RNA (CSAT_LNC001351)". Lineage: Eukaryota; Viridiplantae; Streptophyta; Magnoliopsida; Cucurbitales; Cucurbitaceae. The record is from RNAcentral.
CUCUUAGAUAAGCCACUUGAUGGUCGUUAGUAAUAUAUACAACAGCUCAAAAAUCACCACAUAAAGACCAAGACACUCAGAUAGUAAUAGUAAAAAGAAGAUUCAGUCCCUCCUCUUGGAUUCUUAUGAAUAUGAUGACGUUAUAGCAGAACAAAAUCUUAUAUUCUAACUUUCAUAUAUAAAAAUUUUUAACCCAAAGAGGGCAAUGGUCCCUUUGCUCUACCCCUGCACAUCAUAUUCUAAGAAGAUAAUCUUAUCAAGCUUGAAUUAAAUAAAGGGCAUCCUAAGCUACGGAUUCUCAACAAUUUAUCAAGAACAAAAAAUGGCAGAUAAUGCAAAAGCUGAGUGAAACAGAGAACUUACAAGUCGUUUGUGAAGCAAGGAAAACAGGAUCCUCGUAGCCAGGGAACUGCCUUCUUCCUUUAGACGAAACACAGCCCAUUUACUGGAAAAAAAAUAACGGAAUAUGCAAAACCAACAGCUGCCUCCUCUGUUUCACUACAACACAUCGUGAAAACCCAUCUUACCCCUUGCAUUUAACGAACCCAAAAUUCAAAACAACCAUCAAAACACCCUCAGAUUAGUCGACAUAAAAUUCAAAACCAAACUACCGAACAUAAAUCUUGGGUAAAACAUUUUGACUUAGCCUUUUGUUGACCUCAGAAAAUUUAAAAAAAAAAAAAUCGUAUUUCAAACACGAGACAUCUAAAAUUCAAUUGUAAUCAAUAAAAUAAUCAAGGUAUUCAUUCAUACCGACCCAUCUACACUCCUCUCUCUCUCUCUCUCUUUUCUCUCUGUUUUAAAUGAUCCAACAAAUUCUUCGCCCGUUUAUCUCAAAUUUCAGAAAGACUCGGAAGAAAGAUUACACAACUUUUUUUUUUUUAAAGAAACCCAAAUAUAAAAUUGAAAUCCAAGCACGGCCCACAUAAAAAAAUCCAGAGAAUUCGCUAUAAAGCGUAAAGGAAAGAUGAGAGAAAGGGGAAAAGAGACUCACCAGGAAGAAUGGUGUGGCGGAGGAAUCCAAGGAGAAGGGGAGAUAUUGUUAGAGGAGAGGAAAAUGAGGGGAAAUGAUCCUGAAGAAGAGAGAAAACUAUGGGGAAUGGAAUUGGAAAGCGCAAAUUUCGAGAGUGAAAGGAAGUUUAAUUUAAAAGCAGCGGCGGAAGGAAGACAACUUGGAUGAUGAAUGUGAUGUGUAUUAACGCGAAAUUGGAAACGGCAGAACCCUUAAUUGGUAUAUAUAUUGUUUAUUUAAUUUUUUCUUCUUCGUUUUUUUCGUAAUUUAAUUUAAUUGUUUUAUUUCUGGUAUUCCAGGUAAUAAAGCAGAAUCUUUUUCGAAUUGGAUGAUACAAUACAAAUAUAUGUUCACCGCAAAAUAAUUUUGGCCACGUAUGAAAUUUAUUGCAACUGUACUGCACGCCCCUUGUGGUGGAUCCAUGCAUUAUAUUUUAAAUAAAUACAAUUUUCAAAAUUAGCAAAAAU